GCAGCUGCAGCGUGAAGGGAGGAACCAUCCGGGAGCGGGGCGGGGAGGGCAGAUUGAGUGAGCAGAAGAAGCAGGGUCAGGACCAGGACCGCGGGGGUUCGAAAGCCUGGCAACCGGCUGACCACAAGCACGGUGUGACCAGGAGGGGGGCUCUACAAGGGUAGCCUGGAGGCUGCAGUGGGGGCUGGCGGUUUGCACAGGAGCGACCCCCCCCCUUUAGUGGACUCUGCGGCAGGCCGGCGGAUCCCGCCAAAUCCCACUCUUCCCCAACUCCCCAUCCCAGCCUUUGUCACCCGAGUUGUGAUCUGGGGCCUGGAAGCGGAGAUCCAGGGCACUGGGUAUUGCCAGACCGGAUCUCAGCACGCAUUCAGGAACCAGACGGCUCCGGACAGAGAUCUGCCCUUCGCCAACUCUGCUUCUCCGCACCUCUUGGGAUCGCGCUCCUUGGGCCCUGGACCCCAUGGCGGAUAGGAAACUGGUGGUGGUUUUUGGAGCCACAGGGGCCCAAGGUGGCUCAGUGGCACGCACAUUGCUGGAAGAUGGGACAUUCAGGGUUCGAGUGGUAACAAGGAAUCCUGAGCAGAGAGCAGCCAAAGAGCUGAAGCUGCGGGGCGCUGAAGUCAUGCGAGGAGAUCAGGACGACAAGGCUAGCAUGGAGCUGGCACUGACGGGAGCUCAUGCCGCCUUCAUUGUGACCAACUACUGGGAGAAGUGCAGCCGGGAGCGGGAAGUCGAGCAGGGCAAGCUUCUAGCAGAUCUAGCCAAGCGCCUGGGCCUCCAUUAUGUCGUCUACAGUGGCCUGGAGAACAUCAGCAAGCUGACGGCGGGAAGGCUGGCAGCAGGCCACUUUGAUGGCAAAGGGGAGGUGGAGGAGUAUUUCCGAGACAUUGGUGUUCCCAUGACCAGUGUGCGGCUGCCUUGCUAUUUUGAGAACCUCCUUUCCUAUUUCCUGCCCCAGAAAGCUGCAGAUGGAGAGAGUUACUUGCUGGACUUGCCCAUGGGUGAUGUCCCCAUGGAUGGAAUGGCGGUGAGUGACCUGGGUCCCGUGGUGCUCAGCUUGCUGAAGAAGCCAGAAGAGUAUGUAGGGCGGAACAUCGGCCUCAGCACCUGCAGGCACACUGCAGAGGAGUAUGCUGCCCUGCUGACCAGACACACUGGCAAGACUGUACAUCAUGCAAAGACAACUCCUGAGCAAUAUGAGAAGCUUGGCUUCCCAGGGGCCCGAGACUUGGCCAACAUGUUCCGUUUCUAUGCCCUGAAACCUGACCGCAACAUUGAUCUAACCCUGCAACUCAACCCCAAGGCCCGAACGCUGGACCAGUGGUUAGCACAGCACAGAGAGGACUUUGCUCAGCUGUGAUCCUGAAGCCCUCAGCCGGGGACUAAGAGAUAGUUUCCCAAAAGAAAAGGCCUCUUGUUUGUGGGAAGUGAGCUGGAGCGGCAGAUGCAUGAAAAUGGAAGUGCUGGUAGGCGGCACCAAGUAGGCACAAGGGCUCAUCUGCUAUCACCUCAGCCCGGAGAAGAGCGCUGAGCAGUGUGCACACACACAGUCCACAGGGGACCAGGCAUGUUCACCUGUACCUGUGUGACAUGUACACGUGCACACACAACACGUCCUUACAGAAAGAACAAAUGAAACGUGGCAGAGCUGUGGACCACUGGAGAUGAGGUGAUGUUGCCUGUGCCUAAGACCAACAUUAUGGGUCGGCUUACCUCUCAGCCCUUCACAGGGAGCAACAAAGGCCCAGAAAGCCCAAACACCAGCUGAGAUUUCAUGGCACGUCUGUGAAUUUCCACCAGUGUAUGGGUUUGUCUAACCACUGGCACACUGUCUUUGUACUGUCCUUCCCUGACAUCAGACUCGGAGCAGGAAAAGGAGCAGUGAUCCCAUCAUGCAUUCUACCAGAGACUCUUGACUGAGGCAUGUCCUUGACAACUAACUGUGUCACGCCUUAAAAUGUGGGGUAAACAGACACGUUAUACUGUCUGUCUUAAGGCAACUUUUUGAGACAGUUUCUCUGUGUAACCCUGGCUAUUCUGGAACUUGCUCUGUAGCCCAGGCUGGCCUUAAGCUGAGAGAUCCACCUGCCUCUGCCUCCAAGUGCUGGGACUAAAGGUGUGUGCCACCAACGCCACCCUGACGAAGAACUUAUUUAGUGGGAAGGCCACACAAAGAGAGAGAGAGAAAAGCAAAACUGUUACAGACCCCAGGCUGGAGAGAACAGAUGGAAAUAAGCAGCGUGGCUGGGGAGUCCGAGGUUAGGGUUCUGAGUGACAUUAAGAGGCAGAGCACGAGUACAAACCCUGGGCUUCACCCCCAGCACCAAAAAGAUGAAAAGUUUAAGAAGACCAAUCAGUCAGGACAGGACUGAGGUCUGUGGGGAAGGGCGGGGCCUUCCCAGCAGAGUAAAGGGAGAAGACAGUAACAAGCGUGGACUUCUGAGCCCACGGCGUCAGGAGACCCACAGGUUGUCUCUACGUGCUGCUCUAUGAUGCUCCACCUAAGCCUGGGAUAGCCUGCCAGAAUCAAGGUCCAGCGUGGACACGGAGUACCAGCCAGCUCCUCACUAGAGUGGCAGGAUCAGGGCCAUGCGCUGCCCACCCCGGGUGUUUACUUAUCUGGUCCCCACCCCCUGGGCUGUUGUGAAGACACGGUCAACCCACUUGUGCCUAGCACUUCAAGUACCCUGUGUUUUGUCUGCCACACCAAGGCAAAACCCUGCUAGCCUGCACGUGCCCUUCAGUUUGGUUUGUGUUCCUCUGAAUGGUGGCCUCCACUGCAGAGCACAGUGGGAGCCUCCCAAGUUCCCGAUGAAGCUACGAGUGGAGAGCCACACACAGUGCUCCUUAGGUGGUCUGUUCUGUGUGUGACAAAUUAUCUGCCCUGCACACAAAACACCUUGUGUUACAAACCAUUUCACCAAAUGAGACAGUCAUGUCCACCAGUUUCCUAUCUCCUGCCAUAGCUAAAUGUCUCGAGGCACAGGCUCUUCCUCUACAUACAACAGCAGACCUUGGACUGUAUUCUGUUUGGCCACAAACAGCGCAGGAAACCUCCUGUAAUCCCAGGAGGCAAGGUGAUGAGGACCCAAACAGAGGGGACAACCAGUCCUCCAGGUCUCAUGUAGCCUGUGGCCUUAAAUUCACUAUGUUGCUAAGACUGGCCUUGAAUUUCUGCCUCCAUCUCCCAUAUGAUGCUCCAGUUCCAGCUCAGAGGCUACAAAGUCUAAAAACAAAUGCCUCGGGAGCUGGGUGUAGAAAUAAGCCCACCUAGGCCUGGAGAUGAGACUUCAUUCUAUAGAUGUUGCCUAGCCACCUUUUAUCCACCUAAGAGUCCUCAACAAGUCAGUAAUGAUGCCCUAGCCAAAGACCCACCUACCUCUCCCAAGUCCCUUCCUAGCUCUGAGACCUGGCUGACUUCUUGAGAAAGAACCCCCUGAGAACAGUGUCUCCCCCACUACUGUUGCGGGCCAGUGUUCAGCUGCCCCCCCCCAUCUCUUCCCCGCCCAGCCCAGUGAAUCCUUCCAUACCUCUCUCUGCUUAUCUCAAAAGCCAUUAAGGCUCUGCUGGAAGCCUGGACUAGUUAAAGUACACUAAGCAAAAAAAAAAAAAAAAA
This is an RNA transcript of Peromyscus leucopus (white-footed mouse), 3616 nucleotides long. It is a transcript of the gene named NmrA like redox sensor 1, with no coding region annotated. Lineage: Eukaryota; Metazoa; Chordata; Mammalia; Rodentia; Cricetidae. The record is from RefSeq and is a predicted model, not a curated record. The transcript is spliced from 7 exons.